This 88-nucleotide transfer RNA is filed under the name Patescibacteria group bacterium. Its description in RNAcentral is "tRNA-Ser". It matches the Rfam family "tRNA". Rfam says of the family: Transfer RNA (tRNA) molecules are approximately 80 nucleotides in length. Their secondary structure includes four short double-helical elements and three loops (D, anti-codon, and T loops). The record is from RNAcentral.
GGAGGGAUCGCAUAGUGGCCUAGUGCAACAGUUUACUAAACUGUCGUUUCACAAGAAACCGAGGGUUCGAAUCCCUCUCCCUCCGCCA